CAGCAGCGCGGGAAAACGAAGGGGGCUAGCGUUGUUCGGAAUUACUGGGCGUAAAGCGCACGUAGGCGGAUAUUUAAGUCAGGGGUGAAAUCCCGCAGCUCAACUGCGGAACUGCCUUUGAUACUGGGUAUCUUGAGUAUGGAAGAGGUUAGUGGAAUUGCGAGUGUAGAGGUGAAAUUCGUAGAUAUUCGCAGGAACACCAGUGGCGAAGGCGGCUAACUGGUCCAUAACUGACGCUGAGGUGCGAAAGCGUGGGGAGCAAACAGGAUUAGAUACCCCAGUAGUCCCUGUCUCUUAUACA
RNAcentral lists this ribosomal RNA (301 nucleotides) under uncultured bacterium. RNAcentral's name for it is "partial 16S ribosomal RNA". It matches the Rfam family "Bacterial small subunit ribosomal RNA", at positions 509 to 808 of the family's 1533-position model. The record is from RNAcentral.